UUGGCAUGGUGAUGAUGAAGUUUAUUGUCAUCUGAUAACUCAAAUGAUGAAUAAAACACCUCCUACUCAUUCUGA
Lupinus angustifolius (narrow-leaved blue lupine) is the source of this 75-nucleotide small nucleolar RNA. It matches the Rfam family "Small nucleolar RNA Z105". Rfam says of the family: This family consists of several snoRNA Z105 sequences which are members of the C/D class of snoRNA which contain the C (UGAUGA) and D (CUGA) box motifs. This family seems to be found exclusively in plants. C/D box small nucleolar RNAs are known to act as a methylation guides for 18S ribosomal RNA. The record is from Rfam. NCBI's taxonomy places the organism in Eukaryota, Viridiplantae, Streptophyta, Magnoliopsida, Fabales, Fabaceae.